AGACCCGAAACCCGGUGAUCUAGCCAUGGGCAGGUUGAAGGUUGGGUAACACUAACUGGAGGACCGAACCGACUAAUGUUGAAAAAUUAGCGGAUGACCUGUGGCUGGGGGUGAAAGGCCAAUCAAACCGGGAGAUAGCUGGUUCUCCCCGAAAGCUAUUUAGGUAGCGCCUCGUGAAUUCAUCUCCGGGGGUAGAGCACUGUUUCGGCUAGGGGGCCAUCCCGGCUUACCAACCCGAUGCAAACUGCGAAUACCGGAGAAUGUUAUCACGGGAGACACACGGCGGGUGCUAACGUCCGUCGUGAAGAGGGAAACAACCCAGACCGCCAGCUAAGGUCCCAAAGUCAUGGUUAAGUGGGAAACGAUGUGGGAAGGCCCAGACAGCCAGGAUGUUGGCUUAGAAGCAGCCAUCAUUUAAAGAAAGCGUAAUAGCUCACUGGUCGAGUCGGCCUGCGCGGAAGAUGUAACGGGGCUAAACCAUGCACCGAAGCUGCGGCAGCGACGCUUAUGCGUUGUUGGGUAGGGGAGCGUUCUGUAAGCCUGUGAAGGUGGCCUGUGAGGGUUGCUGGAGGUAUCAGA
This 579-nucleotide ribosomal RNA is filed under the name Salmonella enterica. Its description in RNAcentral is "partial 23S ribosomal RNA". It matches the Rfam family "Bacterial large subunit ribosomal RNA", at positions 711 to 1286 of the family's 2925-position model. The record is from RNAcentral. Lineage: Bacteria; Pseudomonadati; Pseudomonadota; Gammaproteobacteria; Enterobacterales; Enterobacteriaceae.